UGUUGCCAUAGAAAUCUCUAUUGAGUUGCUUGUAGCUAAGAGCUUUCCUGGGCCAGGGAUGUCAGCUCCAGAUUUACCACUCUCCAGCCCCAAAAGCUUUUCUUAAAGAGAGAGGUGUUUGAACUUAUGCCUGCCAAAGAAGACAGCCAGAGCGAUGAGGAGAGUGGUCCUCGAAGCAUCCAGGAGACCCCGGAGUACCACUAUCCAGCUGUGCUGGCCAUCUGCUGCUUCCCUCCACUGGGCUUCUUUGCCUUAUUCUUCUCUCACAAGACAAGAGUCUACAAGGAAGAGAACGAACAUGAAAAGGCAAAAGUUGCCUCGGAUCGCACCCUUGUUUUGGCCUUGACCUCCCUCAUUGUAGGACUCUUCAUUCCUCUCCUCUUUUUAUACCGAAUCUUCUUCUUUUAACCUGUCAGAGCACACGGCCAAACCAUCGGCUAUGUAUGACCGCGUCACUUAACCCUUUGUGCAGCUUUAGACUAGCCAGGACACCUUCUCUGUAAUGUCUGGGGCACCCAGCUGUUUGAGAUCAGAAAUAAAAACAACAGCAAUGA
This is a long non-coding RNA of Peromyscus maniculatus bairdii (prairie deer mouse), 554 nucleotides long. RefSeq lists it as uncharacterized. Lineage: Eukaryota; Metazoa; Chordata; Mammalia; Rodentia; Cricetidae. The record is from RefSeq and is a predicted model, not a curated record.